GAUGAACGCUGGCGGCGUGCCUAAUACAUGCAAGUAGAACGCUGAAGGAGGAGCUUGCUCUUCUGGAUGAGUUGCGAACGGGUGAGUAACGCGUAGGUAACCUGCCUGGUAGCGGGGGAUAACUAUUGGAAACGAUAGCUAAUACCGCAUGACAACAGUUAUUGCAUGAUAACUGUUUAAAAGGGGCAACUGCUCCACUACCAGAUGGACCUGCGUUGUAUUAGCUAGUUGGUGAGGUAACGGCUCACCAAGGCGACGAUACAUAGCCGACCUGAGAGGGGGGUCGGCCACCCUGGGACGGAGACACGGCCCAGACUCCUACAGGAGGCAGCAGUAGGGAAUCUGCGGCAAGGGACGGAAGUCUGACCGAGCAAGGCCGCGUGAGUGAAGAAGGUUGUCGGAUCGGAAAGCUCUGUUGUAAGAGAAGAACGAGUGUGAGAGUGGAAAGUUCACACUGUGACGGUAUCUUACCAGAAAGGGACGGCUAACUACGUG
Molecule: ribosomal RNA, 495 nt
Filed under: uncultured bacterium
Lineage: Bacteria
Description: partial 16S ribosomal RNA
Rfam family: Bacterial small subunit ribosomal RNA
Source: RNAcentral